This 490-nucleotide ribosomal RNA is filed under the name uncultured bacterium. RNAcentral's name for it is "partial 16S ribosomal RNA". It matches the Rfam family "Bacterial small subunit ribosomal RNA", at positions 28 to 507 of the family's 1533-position model. The record is from RNAcentral.
GAUGAACGCUCGCGGCAGGCCUAAUACAUGCAAGUCGAACGGGAUCCAGAUCAAAGCUUGCUUUGGUCUGGUGAGAGUGGCGCACGGGUGCGUAACGCGUGAGCAACCUACCCUUGUCAGGGGGAUAGCCCGGCGAAAGUCGGAUUAAUACCGCAUGACAUCAUUGAGAGGCAUCUUUCGAUGAUCAAAGAUUUAUCGGACAAGGAUGGGCUCGCGUGACAUUAGCUAGUUGGUAAGGUAACGGCUUACCAAGGCUGCGAUGUCUAGGGGCUCUGAGAGGAGCAUCCCCCACACUGGUACUGAGACACGGACCAGACUCCUACGGGAGGCAGCAGUAAGGAAUAUUGGUCAAUGGACGGAAGUCUGAACCAGCCAUGCCGCGUGCAGGAAGACGGCCCUAUGGGUUGUAAACUGCUUUUAUACGGGAACAAACGUCGGUACGUGUACCGGUCUGAGUGUACCGUAAGAAUAAGGAUCGGCUAACUCCGUG